This 490-nucleotide ribosomal RNA is filed under the name uncultured bacterium. Its description in RNAcentral is "partial 16S ribosomal RNA". It matches the Rfam family "Bacterial small subunit ribosomal RNA", at positions 28 to 507 of the family's 1533-position model. The record is from RNAcentral.
GAUGAACGCUGGCGGCGGGCCUAACACAUGCAAGUCGAACGGAAAGAGGAAGCAGUUGGCUGCUUCGCGGUCGAGGGGCGGGCGGGUGAGACAUGUGUAGGAAGCUCCUAGAUGAAGGGGAAAAACUAGUGAAAACGGUAGUUAUAACCGAAAAUUUUCUGAAGAGCAAAGAGGGGUAGCGACAGGCGGCUUUGCAGCGGAUGAUCCCCGGUGGGACUCGCCUGUUGGUGGGGGGACGGCUAACCGAGGAGACGGGCCCUACGCGGUCUGAGAGGUUGACCGGCCACACUGGAACUGAGACACGGUCCAGACUCCUACGGGAGGCAGCAGUGGGGAAUAUUGCGCAAUGGGCGAAAGCCUGACGCAGCCAUGCCGCGUGUAUGAUGAAGGCCUUCGGGUCGUAAAGUACUUUCAGCGGGGAGGAAGAGAGUUAUGUUAAUACCUGUGCUCAUUGACGUUACCCGCUGAAGAAGCACCGGCUAACUCCGUG